GACCGAGGGUGCAAACGUUGUUCGGAAUUACUGGGCGUAAAGGGCUCGUAGGUGGCCUACUAAGUCAGACGUGAAAUCCCUCGGCUUAACCGGGGAACUGCGUCUGAUACUGGAUGGCUUGAGUUUGGGAGAGGGACGCGGAAUUCCAGGUGUAGCGGUGAAAUGCGUAGAUAUCUGGAGGAACACCGGUGGCGAAGGCGGCGUCCUGGACCAACACUGACACUGAGGAGCGAAAGCCAGGGGAGCAAACGGG
This 253-nucleotide ribosomal RNA is filed under the name uncultured bacterium. Its description in RNAcentral is "partial 16S ribosomal RNA". It matches the Rfam family "Bacterial small subunit ribosomal RNA", at positions 524 to 776 of the family's 1533-position model. The record is from RNAcentral.